UAACCGCAGUAGCUGGCACAAAUUUUACCAAUACUAUAUAUUAUUACUAAUUCAAAAUUUCUUUUAUAAUUAAUAUCAAUUACUGCGAAUAAAAUAAAAUUUAAUAAUUUUUAAAAUUAAAAAAUAUUCACACAUAAAUUUACAUGGUAAAAUAAAAUAAUAAUAAAAUAUUUAACUAGAAUAAAAUAAUAUUAAUAU
RNAcentral lists this ribosomal RNA (198 nucleotides) under Anopheles anthropophagus. RNAcentral's name for it is "partial 12S ribosomal RNA". Lineage: Eukaryota; Metazoa; Arthropoda; Insecta; Diptera; Culicidae. The record is from RNAcentral. RNAcentral also lists the same sequence under 1 other name.